RNAcentral lists this unclassified non-coding RNA (400 nucleotides) under uncultured fungus. Its description in RNAcentral is "sequence contains ITS1". The record is from RNAcentral. Lineage: Eukaryota; Fungi.
GGAGCCGCAGGGAUCGCUCAACGGCGCUUCGCUUGCCAGCAAGGACGGUGUAGAGGGAAACCUGAUCGCGGCAUAUCGGACUCUCGACUGCGCCGGCUCUACGACAAAUGAAUGGGGAUGCGCAGUCAGCAACUGGGUCUUCGCAGGCAUCGCCAGUGAUGAUGCGUACAAGGGGUCCGACGCCCUCGAUCAGCCAUCGAUCAACGACAUCGAAGGCUAUCACUGGAAUACCUCCCCGGCCGGCCAUUAUCUCAACACGAAAUGGGUGGCGGUAUAUGAAGGCGUGGUGCGCGCGAACUCCACGAUUCGCCUCCUCAAGCAGGUGGUAGGGGCGUCGCCAAAUGCGAUCGCGCCAGCGGAUCAAAAGGGUAUCGAGGGCGAGGCAAUAUUUCUACGCGCA